This 420-nucleotide ribosomal RNA is filed under the name uncultured Bacteroides sp. Its description in RNAcentral is "bacterial SSU rRNA". It matches the Rfam family "Bacterial small subunit ribosomal RNA", at positions 356 to 774 of the family's 1533-position model. The record is from RNAcentral. Lineage: Bacteria; Pseudomonadati; Bacteroidota; Bacteroidia; Bacteroidales; Bacteroidaceae.
GAGGAAUAUUGGUCAAUGGGCGCGAGCCUGAACCAGCCAAGUAGCGUGAAGGAUGACUGCCCUAUGGUUUGAAAACUCCUUUUUUAGGGGAUAAAGGGGAGCACGGUUGGCUUAAUGGUUGUUACUUAAGGACUAGCCUUCGCCUACUUCCUGCCAGCAGCCGCGGUAAUACGGAGGAUGCAAGCGUUAUCCGGAUUUAUUGGGUUUAAAGGGAGCGUAGGCGGACUAUUAAGUCAGCUGUGAAAGUUUACGGCUCAACCGUGAAAUUGCAGUUGAAACUGGUCGUCUUGAGUGCAGUAAAGGUGGGCGGAAUUCGUGGUGUAGCGGUGAAAUGCUUAGAUAUCACGAAGAACUCCAAUUGCGAAGGCAGCUCACUGGAGUGUAACUGACGCUGAUGCUCGAAAGUGUGGGUAUCAAACA